GUGAGGAAUAUUGCGCAAUGGGCGAAAGCCUGACGCAGCGACGCCGCGUGGACGAUGAAGGUCUUCGGAUCGUAAAGUCCUUUUCUGCGUGACGAGGAAGGACGGUAGCGCAGGAAUAAGUGUCGGCUAACUACGUGCCAGCAGCCGCGGUAACACGUAGGACGCAAGCGUUAUCCGGAAUUACUGGGCGUAAAGGGCGUGUAGGCGGCACGGUAAGUCAACCGUGAAAGCUCCCGGCUAAACUGGGAGAGGUCGGAUGAGACUGCCGAGCUAGAGGGUCGUAGAGGGGUGUGGAAUUCCGGGUGUAGUGGUGAAAUGCGUAGAGAUCCGGAGGAACACCAGAGGCGAAGGCGGCACCCUGGACGACACCAGACGCUGAGACGCGACAGCACGGGGAGCGAACGGGAUUAGAUACCCUAGUAGUCC
This 426-nucleotide ribosomal RNA is filed under the name uncultured Anaerolineaceae bacterium. RNAcentral describes it as "bacterial SSU rRNA". It matches the Rfam family "Bacterial small subunit ribosomal RNA", at positions 354 to 796 of the family's 1533-position model. Lineage: Bacteria; Bacillati; Chloroflexota; Anaerolineae; Anaerolineales; Anaerolineaceae. The record is from RNAcentral.